Molecule: long non-coding RNA, 587 nt
Filed under: Olea europaea subsp. europaea
Lineage: Eukaryota; Viridiplantae; Streptophyta; Magnoliopsida; Lamiales; Oleaceae
Source: RNAcentral
AGAAGUGCUACUGUGACGCCCCGAACUUAAGCUUCGAGGGUCAAGUACUAAACAUAAUAACUUCUACAUUUAGUACAUGUAAAUACUCUUAAAUAGGAGUAUUUCAUGUUAAAAACUUAUUUUCAAUUUGAUAAAAUCAUUCUUAUAAAAUUUGAUGGCCGGUAAAAGUACAUGUCAACAAGGAAUUAUGCUUUACAUACACGACCUCGGCACUGUCAAGAUUAGUUUGGGCAGCAAGUUUGACAAUUUUUAUAAAAUUCAUCCCAACUCCAUUUUCUAUGAAAUUUGCGGAAUUAGAAAGAUAAUUUCAAGUAGUUUUCUAGGUUAAAAUAUGAGAAUUUUCCUAGAUUUUCUAUGAAAUUUGCGGAAUUAGAAAGAUAAUUUCAAGUAGUUUUCUAGGUUAAAAUAUGAGAAUUUUCCUAGAUCAUAAGAUAUGGACGUUUUACUGAAAAUAGUGAAAUGUUGCACAGAAAAUUUAGAUUGACCCCUUGACGUUUAAAAAUUUAUAUCUCAGGCCACAAAUAUCCAAAUUGAGUAAUUCUUGCGGCCAUAUUUAGAAAACUCAAAGAGGAACACAGAAAUAUUUU